RNAcentral lists this transfer RNA (70 nucleotides) under Parakontikia atrata. RNAcentral describes it as "tRNA-Ala". Lineage: Eukaryota; Metazoa; Platyhelminthes; Tricladida; Geoplanidae. The record is from RNAcentral.
AACUUUAGAGUGUUUAAAACAUAUUUAAUUUGCGUUUAAAAGAUAAAAUUUAUAAAAAUUUUUAAAGUUU